RNAcentral lists this ribosomal RNA (253 nucleotides) under uncultured bacterium. Its description in RNAcentral is "partial 16S ribosomal RNA". It matches the Rfam family "Bacterial small subunit ribosomal RNA", at positions 524 to 776 of the family's 1533-position model. The record is from RNAcentral.
UACGUAUGGGGCAAGCGUUAUCCGGAUUUACUGGGUGUAAAGGGAGCGCAGGCGGCCUGGCAAGCCUGAUGUGAAAUACCGAGGCCCAACCCCGGGGCUGCAUUGGGAACUGCCUGGCUGGAGUGCCGGAGAGGCAGGCGGAAUUCCUAGUGUAGCGGUGAAAUGCGUAGAUAUUAGGAGGAACACCAGUGGCGAAGGCGGCCUGCUGGACGGUGACUGACGCUGAGGCUCGAAAGCGUGGGGAGCAAACAGG